AUUGAACGCUGGCGGCAUGCCUUACACAUGCAAGUCGAACGGCAGCAUGGAAGAGCUUGCUCUUCUGAUGGCGAGUGGCGAACGGGUGAGUAAAGCAUCGGAACGUACCGUGUAGUGGGGGAUAACGUAGCGAAAGUUACGCUAAUACCGCAUACGCACUGAGGUGGAAAGCAGGGGAUCGCAAGACCUUGCGCUAUACGAGCGGCCGAUGUCAGAUUAGCUAGUUGGUAGGGUAAAGGCCUACCAAGGCUACGAUCUGUAGUUGGUCUGAGAGGACGACCAGCCACACUGGGACUGAGACACGGCCCAGACUCCUACGGGAGGCAGCAGUGGGGAAUUUUGGACAAUGGGCGGCAAGACCUGAUCCAGCCAUGCCGCGUGAGUGAAGAAGG
RNAcentral lists this ribosomal RNA (392 nucleotides) under uncultured bacterium. Its description in RNAcentral is "bacterial SSU rRNA". It matches the Rfam family "Bacterial small subunit ribosomal RNA", at positions 30 to 414 of the family's 1533-position model. The record is from RNAcentral.